Long non-coding RNA from Drosophila teissieri, 913 nucleotides. RefSeq lists it as uncharacterized. The transcript is spliced from 3 exons. Lineage: Eukaryota; Metazoa; Arthropoda; Insecta; Diptera; Drosophilidae. The record is from RefSeq and is a predicted model, not a curated record.
UGUAGGCAGGGAAAACCUUUCCAAAAAUCUAAAAAAAAAAAAAAAAGCUGAGAAAGGGAAGUGAGUGGAGCCGAUCGAGGGAAUGGAGAGUUUAUGGGGCCGGACAUGGUGGCAGCCUUGAAAAAUCACCUUUCACACCGCCUAGAGUUCUCUUAUUUUUUGUGGCCGCCGAUGCUCUGCAGUCCCUUGAAGUUCCAGCCCAGAGGAUGGGAGAAGAGACGAACUCACAAAGUACCAAUCUCCCGAAGAAUAGCACAAAGCCCAUGGAUAAUAGCCCAAUGGAGCUGUUGGGCAUGCCAUCGCUACGAAAAAAAAAGAGGAAAAGAUACAUACUGAUACAAAAAAAAAAAACUAAAGGCUAAGCGAGGUAAAAAAAGAUAAUUAACUUUUUUUUCUUUUAGCACUAAGUAUGCCAAAGAGGAAGCACUAACAACAGCAACAGCAACGGCAAGAAAUUACAACACAUUACAAUGGAUGGGGGUUCGGCAAGUGUGAGAGAGUUCCCUUGAGUCGGCGUCGUCGUCGGCGCUAGCCAUCUCUUUCUCGGCCCUUAUGUUUGCUGAAAUUUCUGCACUCCACCGCCGGGCGAGAAUCAAAUAAAUUCCGGCACAAAACUCUUUUUCCCUGCUGGCCAAGUUCCGCUCGAGCUAACUUAUGCGGAAAAAGGGGCUUUUUUUUAAUGAUGACGCUUCCUGUUUGCCGGCCGCACAUAUACUUAUACUUAUACUUAUGAGACACCUUGAGCGUUGAUAUCUUCCAGACGAGAAGCUUCAAUUGAAAUUUGUACUUAAUUAAGCCUGGUAUGGCGCAUCGGCUUUCCUUUGAUCGGCGGUUGGGAAGGCAUUCUGGGAAUUCGUCAAGUUGGCGAUACCAGCGAGCAAUUAUUCACUUAAGAUUAAAACAAUUUUUUAAA